RNAcentral lists this ribosomal RNA (1369 nucleotides) under uncultured bacterium. Its description in RNAcentral is "bacterial SSU rRNA". It matches the Rfam family "Bacterial small subunit ribosomal RNA", at positions 28 to 1381 of the family's 1533-position model. The record is from RNAcentral.
GACGAACGCUGGCGGCGUGCCUAAUACAUGCAAGUAGAACGCUGAAGAGAGGAGCUUGCUCUUCUUGGAUGAGUUGCGAACGGGUGAGUAACGCGUAGGUAACCUGCCUUGUAGCGGGGGAUAACUAUUGGAAACGAUAGCUAAUACCGCAUAACAAUGGAUGACACAUGUCAUUUAUUUGAAAGGGGCAAAUGCUCCACUACAAGAUGGACCUGCGUUGUAUUAGCUAGUAGGUGAGGUAACGGCUCACCUAGGCGACGAUACAUAGCCGACCUGAGAGGGUGAUCGGCCACACUGGGACUGAGACACGGCCCAGACUCCUACGGGAGGCAGCAGUAGGGAAUCUUCGGCAAUGGGGGCAACCCUGACCGAGCAACGCCGCGUGAGUGAAGAAGGUUUUCGGAUCGUAAAGCUCUGUUGUAAGUCAAGAACGAGUGUGAGAGUGGAAAGUUCACACUGUGACGGUAGCUUACCAGAAAGGGACGGCUAACUACGUGCCAGCAGCCGCGGUAAUACGUAGGUCCCGAGCGUUGUCCGGAUUUAUUGGGCGUAAAGCGAGCGCAGGUGGUUUGAUAAGUCUGAAGUUAAAGGCUGUGGCUCAACCAUAGUUCGCUUUGGAAACUGUCAAACUUGAGUGCAGAAGGGGAGAGUGGAAUUCCAUGUGUAGCGGUGAAAUGCGUAGAUAUAUGGAGGAACACCGGUGGCGAAAGCGGCUCUCUGGUCUGUAACUGACGCUGAGGCUCGAAAGCGUGGGGAGCGAACAGGAUUAGAUACCCUGGUAGUCCACGCCGUAAACGAUGAGUGCUAGGUGUUGGAUCCUUUCCGGGAUUCAGUGCCGCAGCUAACGCAUUAAGCACUCCGCCUGGGGAGUACGACCGCAAGGUUGAAACUCAAAGGAAUUGACGGGGGCCCGCACAAGCGGUGGAGCAUGUGGUUUAAUUCGAAGCAACGCGAAGAACCUUACCAGGUCUUGACAUCCCGAUGCUAUUUCUAGAGAUAGAAAGUUACUUCGGUACAUCGGUGACAGGUGGUGCAUGGUUGUCGUCAGCUCGUGUCGUGAGAUGUUGGGUUAAGUCCCGCAACGAGCGCAACCCCUAUUGUUAGUUGCCAUCAUUCAGUUGGGCACUCUAGCGAGACUGCCGGUAAUAAACCGGAGGAAGGUGGGGAUGACGUCAAAUCAUCAUGCCCCUUAUGACCUGGGCUACACACGUGCUACAAUGGUUGGUACAACGAGUUGCGAGUCGGUGACGGCAAGCUAAUCUCUUAAAGCCAAUCUCAGUUCGGAUUGUAGGCUGCAACUCGCCUACAUGAAGUCGGAAUCGCUAGUAAUCGCGGAUCAGCACGCCGCGGUGAAUACGUUCCCGGGCCU